AUUGAACGCUGGCGGCAUGCCUUACACAUGCAAGUCGAACGGCAGCACGGGUGCUUGCACCUGGUGGCGAGUGGCGAACGGGUGAGUAAUACAUCGGAACACGUCCUGUAGCGGGGGAUAGCCCGGCGAAAGCCGGAUUAAUACCGCAUACGAUCUACGGACGAAAGCGGGGGACCUGCGGGCCUCGCGCUAUAGGGUUGGCCGAUGGCGGAUUUGCUAGUUGGUGGGGUAAAGGCCUACCAAGGCGACGAGCAGUAGCUGGUGUGAGAGGACGACCGGCCGCACGGGGACUGGGCCACCGCCCAGGCUCCUACGGGAGGCAGCAGUGGGGAAUUGUGGACAAUGGGCGAAAGCCUUGUCCAGCAAUGCCGCGCGUGUGAAGAAGGCCUUCGGGUUGUAAAGCACGUUUGUCCGGAAAGAAAUCCUUGGCCCUAAUACGGUCGGGGGAUGACGGUACCGGAAGAAUAAGCACCGGCUAACUACGUG
RNAcentral lists this ribosomal RNA (486 nucleotides) under uncultured bacterium. RNAcentral's name for it is "partial 16S ribosomal RNA". It matches the Rfam family "Bacterial small subunit ribosomal RNA", at positions 28 to 507 of the family's 1533-position model. The record is from RNAcentral.